RNAcentral lists this ribosomal RNA (730 nucleotides) under uncultured Glaciecola sp. RNAcentral's name for it is "bacterial SSU rRNA". It matches the Rfam family "Bacterial small subunit ribosomal RNA", at positions 774 to 1505 of the family's 1533-position model. Lineage: Bacteria; Pseudomonadati; Pseudomonadota; Gammaproteobacteria; Alteromonadales; Alteromonadaceae. The record is from RNAcentral.
AGGAUUAGAUACCCUGGUAGUCCACACCGUAAACGCUGUCUACUAGCUGUUUGUGGAUUUAAUCCGUGAGUAGCGAAGCUAACGCGAUAAGUAGACCGCCUGGGGAGUACGGCCGCAAGGUUAAAACUCAAAUGAAUUGACGGGGGCCCGCACAAGCGGUGGAGCAUGUGGUUUAAUUCGAUGCAACGCGAAGAACCUUACCUACUCUUGACAUACUAGAAACUUUUCAGAGAUGAAUUGGUGCCUUCGGGAAUCUAGAUACAGGUGCUGCAUGGCUGUCGUCAGCUCGUGUCGUGAGAUGUUGGGUUAAGUCCCGCAACGAGCGCAACCCUUGUCCUUAGUUACCAGCAUUAAGUUGGGUACUUUAAGGAGACUGCCGGUGACAAACCGGAGGAAGGUGGGGGCGACGUCAAGUCAUCAUGGCCCUUACGAGUAGGGCUACACACGUGCUACAAUGGCGAGUACAAAGGGAUGCAAACUGGUGACAGUAAGCGGACCCCUUAAAGCUCGUCGUAGUCCGGAUUGGAGUCUGCAACUCGACUCCAUGAAGUCGGAAUCGCUAGUAAUCGUAGGUCAGCAUACUACGGUGAAUACGUUCCCGGGCCUUGUACACACCGCCCGUCACACCAUGGGAGUGGGAUGCAAAAGAAGUAGGUAGCUUAACCUUCGGGAUGGCGCUUACCACUUUGUGUUUCAUGACUGGGGUGAAGUCGUAACAAGGUAGCCGUAR